Manis javanica (Malayan pangolin) is the source of this 3162-nucleotide long non-coding RNA. RefSeq lists it as uncharacterized. The record is from RefSeq and is a predicted model, not a curated record. NCBI's taxonomy places the organism in Eukaryota, Metazoa, Chordata, Mammalia, Pholidota, Manidae.
UGCAAGCGUAGAAACAACAGGAAAGUGGGUUCAGUGGCUGCUACAGGAAGGCAGUGCCCUCCGGGGUGCAGAGGCUUUGUUGGGUGUUGCUGAGAGGAACCACAAGCGGAAAGGAGCUGGCAAAUCCCUCCUCCUUCCUCCAGGCUUGCAACCUUCCUGUAGCACCCCUAACUGGUAGGGCCAGUAUGGGGUUUGCAGGGUCUUAGCUUAGCAUCCCAAAGCCAAGUUGGGAAGCAUGGAUUUGGAACUGAGAGGCAAUGACUGUCAUGGGGAAGCCACCCCUCAACUGCAUGAGGGAUCGUCUACACAGAGCCCCGAAGUCUUCAGAAGAUUCUUUGCAUCCAACCAACAGACAAGGAAAGAAGGACACAUGGAGAAUUCAAGGAGGGAUCAGGGACCACAUUCCACUGGCCAACAUUAGCUGCAUGACCACCUCAGACAAGAGGAACUUGGGAGGUGUAAUCUGGCUGUGUGACCAGGAAGGAGAGAGGACAGUUUGAUAAUUGAAUUAUGAUGUAUAAACUAAUACUUCAGACAAAAUAAUAUCCGAUGUUUAUGGGCACUGUGCAAAGCGCUCCAAAAUAAUGGUACUGUUCGUAUCCCCCUGUUAUGGAUGGAGGACAGACAACUUAGAAGGAUUAGUUCGCUUCAGGUCACAGAGCUGUUCUGGAGGUCAGAAGUCCUAAAAUCAACAUGCUGGCAGAACUUCAUUCCGCUGGAAGCUCUAGGGAAGAAUUCACUUCCACAUUUUCGCUAGCUUGUAGAGGCUGCGUGCAUUCCUCGAUUCGUGGCUCCAUGUUUCCAUCCUCAAAGUACAUUACUCCGACCCCUGCUUCAGUCGUCACGGCUGCUCUGACUGCCCCUCCUGCCUCCCUCUUAUAAGGACUUUGUAAUUACACUGGGCCCACCUGGAUAACCCGAGAUAACCUCCCAUCUGCAAGUCUUUAAUUAUAUCUGCGAAGUCUCUUUUGCCAGGUAAGGUAACAUAUUCCCAGAGUCCAGGGGCUAGGGUGUGGACAUCUUUGGAGGGGCAUUAUUCUGUCUACUACAUUACUUAAACAGAAGCCAUUCUGUGAAUGACGAAAGGGAGAUAGUGCCCACCCCUGUGGGCCACAGUGUGGCAGAUGACAAGUCAUCAGUUCUCCGUUAUGACACGGGGAGGAAAGCUUGCCAACGCCUCAUCUGCUCAGCUUCAUGGGCUUAUGUAGGUUCUCAGCCUCUGCAGUAAAGACACAUUUACCUCCCCGCUCCUCCUCCAGCUUCUGGAAUUCAGGAAGACCAGUGGGUUCUUCCCAAGAUACCAAAAGGGACCAGAAUCACCCUUCUUCUUGGUUCUCUGAUGGUUAAUUUUAUGUGUUUACUUGGCUAGGCCACGGUACCCAGAUAUUUGGCUAAACACCAGCCCAGAUGUUGAGUUAGAGGUAUUUUUUAUGCGAGAUUAGCAUUUAAAUCACUAGGUACUGAGUUCAGCAGAUUACCUUCCAUAAUGGGGGGUGUCCUCAUCUAAUUAGUUGAAGGCCUUCAGAGAAAAUCACUGAGAUCCCCAAGAAAGAGGAAGUUCUGCCUCCACCCUGCCUUCAGGCUCAAGCUGCAGCGUCAACUCUUCCUGGGUCUCCAGCCUGCUGGUCUCCCCUGAAGAUUUCAGACUCUCCAGGCCCCUCAACGGUGCCACCCAGUUCCUUAAAAUUUCUCCUUCUGUCUGCAUAUAUAUAUUUAUAUUCCAUUUCUCUGAUAAAAACCCUAAUACAGGUCCAUAGAUCUCCACAGGCCAAACCCUCUCCAAGAAGACUUCUCCAGUGUCUCCUGUCCCUCUGCACCUCUGAACCCUUGGGGGACGGUCCCGGGCCAACUUCCUCUAAGAGGAAGGUGGCAGCACCCAAGGCCCUCUCCCCACCUCCCACUUUCCCCUGGAGCUGUCUGGAGUCAAGGAGGGCGCAGAACAUAGGGACAUUUAAGGCAACGUUUCCUCCAGAUUUGUGUCAGGGUUCUUCUUAAACAUGAUUUUAAAAUCCAGAAUUUUUCUAGCUUUCCAGAACUGUAUCAUUCUCUAAUUGAGUAAUGCAGCUUAUGUUUUUAUCCAAGACAUUGAUAAAACCAUAAGAUAGCUGAGAACCAAAUAUACCCAUCCUAGAAACUCUCUCUUUAGGAUCCAAUUGCUUUUUCAUUUAAUCCCUCAUUUUCUAAGAUCGUGUUUUUACAGUUAAGUUUACUUUUGUUCUCAUUCUCCUUUGGGGCAGUUGGUGGCUUUUCAAUCAUGGGUCUCAAUUUUAAAGAGAGGGAUGCGUCCCUCCCUUUACUUCUUAGAAAUCGACAUUUUCCUUCCAGGAGAUGAAGGGACGCCUGCCAGGCUCUCUGCCUCUGGACCUGCUCCCUCCCAUAUCCUCAUGAGCUAACACAGGCUCACCAAGCUCAGUAAAUAACUUCAACCUGCCACUCUUAGCUUUGGGGCCAACCCUCUCCUAAGCUGCAGGGAAUUUAAAAAGCCAUGUUGAGUGAAUGUAUUGAGUAUGACCAAUUCGCCAUGUUGCUGGUUUUCUCGACUCUUGGUCCCAGGUCCAGUGACUCAGGUCCUCACUCCUAUCUGCUUCUCAGUGCAGAGUCACUUCACUUCGAAGCUUACUUUUGUAGGCUGAGAAAGGACUGUCGCUUCAGUCAGUCGUGAGGCUGCCUGACAUUACUGCUUGUCUGGAUCAUCACGUAUUACCCAGUCCCUGCUGCCGUGCCUCAGUGGUCUGCACAACACCCAUGCACUACUUCUUUCUACUUCUUUUCUGGACUUCCAAAGUGCUGAACACUGCCCAGUGCAUCGACAGCCACGCUCCUCUCGGCAGGCGGUGCACUGCCUGCACGGGGUCCUGUGAGUGUGUCUGGACUCCAGGUGCAGAGCCCUCCUGGGCUGACCUGUCCCUCUCCUGUGUCCCGAAGCUCCUGUUCUCGUAGAAAGGAUGUGGAAUUCAUAGGCUUUCCAGCAGAGCAGCUCCUCGGACGUGGGGGCCUCGUUUUACGCAUGCUCAAUUACAUUAAAUUCUUAGUUGUUAGGGGGAAAAAUCUGAUUUUCACAUUCUCAUUUCACCUGCAAAAAUAUGUAAUUUCAUCAAACUCCCUCUCACAAAUGGCUUUUAUAUGGCUCAUGAACUACAGAGUUUUGUUCUCUUAUAAAAA